GUGGGACGGCCUGAGGCUCGGUCCCCUCCACCACCGCCGGCUCGGCUCCUCCAAUUCGCCGGACACCAACUCUCUUGGACAGCGCCUUCCACUGCCCAUUCUCCGACGUAGCUGGGUGGGGACCCCAACAGUGCUUGAAGCUUGGGGAGACUUCGAGCCCCCCAACUGGACAAUCCGGGUGAGCCUACCCCCAGGUGGGCAGUUGUGUGGCAUCCCACGUAAUCCCACGCUCUCGAAGACGGCGUGCGUCUCCCUCCCGAGCGGGCGUGGCUUCAUUCUCAGCCAGGCAGGGUCUGGACGAUCCGGGAGUCAGUAUCCCUGUGAAAUGAGUGCUGACCUCGAAGAAGAGCUGGCCCACGGGCACCAGCCCCAGGAGAUCAGAGGACACGCAACGCCUUGGAGUGGCCACUUGGCCCCCUGCCUCCCUGGAUCUGAGGUUCUUAACUUCUGUGGACUUGGUAGAGCCCUCCUGUUAUCAGAAAGAAGGCUGUGCUGAAGUGGACCCCGUCUUUCAGAUGCUGUCCAGAUGACGUAGGGCUCAGGAGCUGAGUCCAGGCAGAAGAGGAGUGACCCGCAGUACACUGGGCGGUGAUGGGCACUAUGUCACAUCAAGAGGUAGAUAGAACCCGUCCACCGAGGAAAGCCCUACGAGGGGACAUUUACUCCCAGUCAGGGGAGGAGGUGAGGAGUAGGGGAGACAGCAGAUCCUACAGGGUCAGAACCUUGUCCUCCUCUAGGUGAGGUGGAGUGCCAUCAAGGGAUUUUGAGCAGAGGGAGGAAGGAUUCUGAAGGGUGAAGCAGGCGUCACUGACAGUGGGACAAGUGGUGAGAAGGAAAGAGGUCAAGGAGGACCUGCGAUGCUUGCUCAAGUGUUGGUCUCCUAUCAUGAAGGAACUGGGAACCAAUUGAUUAGUUCAUAUUGUUUCUCAGUGGAUUUCCCAGCAUUUUCUGAACACAGAGCUUGUCUUCUGUGAAGGGAGCUUACCUCUUUUUCCCAACCGAGGGAGGAGGGUGCUUUAUUUCUUCUUGCCUGAGACCUGGCUUGAAAGAAGCUCCAGCUCAGGGUCAAGUGGGAGCGUGAGAGCAUAUGUCUUUAUCCCAUUCCUGAUCUGGAGGAGGCAUCCCACUUAUCACUAUGAUGCUGGCUGUAGGUUUUUCAUGGAUGCCCUUUAUCAGACAAAAGUUCCUCUCUAUUCCCAGGUUUUUGUUUUGUUUGUUUGUUUGGAAUGUGUGUGUAUGUGUGUUGCUGGGGAUCAAACCCAGGGCCUUGUGCGAGGCAAGCACUCUACCAACUGAGCUAUAUCCCCAGCACCUCCAGGUUAUGUCUUUUAUCAUGAAACAUGGUUGGAUUUUCUCCAGAAAAUCCAAAAUGCUUUUUUUGCAUCUAUCUCCCCCCGCCAUCCUGUUACUGUAGUGUAUUUUAUUGCUUGAUUUUCAGUUAUUGACCCUCCCUUGCAUUCCUGGAUAAACUGCCCUUGGUCUCGACAUAGAUUCCUCUUGAUAUGUUCCUAGGUUUGGUUUAGUACUAUUUUGUUGGUUUUUUUUUUUUUUUUGCAUCCAUGUUCAAAAUAAUACUGGUUUAUAAGUUCUUGUGAAGUCUUCAUCUGGUCUUGGUAUAUCAGUUACCACUGGCCUCAUAAAUCAGAUUGAGAGUGUUCCUCAUAUAUUUCUGGAAGAGUUCUUAAAGAACUGGCAUUAAUUCUUUGGUAGAAUUCAGCAUCACAGCCAUAUGGAAAUGGGGGUUCAUGGGUAACUGAUUAUUAUUCACUAUAGGUCUGUUCAGAUUGUUUCACCUUGAGUUAGUUUCAGUGGUUAAGUCUUUCUAGAAAUGUGUCCAUUUUAUCUAGUUCUCAGGUUUUGGGCCUAAACAAUUCUGAUACCUGAGUAAUCCUUAACUAAAAUAGGAAAGGCCAGAACAGGGAAGUGGGGCAGAAUCAAGAGUUUUCAGCAUGACUUUGGAUUUGGGGAUGCCCUAGCAUCCCUGGAAAGCAAUUCUGUGGGAGGGUGGGGACAGAGGAGGAUAGAAUCCCCACAAUGAGUAUGCAGCUUCCUUCCAGGAGUUUCACUGUGGAGGAGAGCAGAGAAGCUGAGCUGAACCAAGGGGAGGACAGGGUGCAGAAAGAGGGGUGUGUGUGCAAACUGGACAUUCCAGAUGCCGGUGGAAACCUGAUGACAGAGGCGGAGAGUUGCUGGCGCCAUAAGACUAGACACGAAACUGGGAGGAGGCCCCUCUUUUUCAUCUGGUAGCAGCGUGAGAGAAGGCACUGGGACAGGAGGAUGGGCUGGGGCGGGAAGCCUGGCUGACUCUGCCCUAGUGGCCCCAAGACUGGCUUAAGGGCACAGCAGGGUACCAUGGGUGGCAGGGGACAGGAGAAAGCCUGGGAUAGUUAGUUGUCUGAGCUGCAGAGAUAGACUAUGAUGCCGUCAUCAUUCUUUGUCUUCCCAGGAGACAUCUCAUAGGUGGACAUACCUGGAAGGAAGGCUGAUGUGGCAUGUGCCCUGAGACCACCAGAGAAGGGCUGAGUCACAGGGCUUGGCCAGGGCAGAACCCUCCAGGGAUGCGGAGGGAUAUGCAGGGGUCAAUUGUGACACUGGGGCCACAUGGGGCAGGGAGCAGAUGGAGAACCUGGCAGCCCAGAGAUCCCGUGGGCUUAAGGAACUGCAAAGAGUGGGAACAGAGGGCUCUGGGUCAGAGGAAUCAUCUGGGCUGCUAGAAUUGCAUGUUUCCACCUGUUCUGGCACUGGAAAGACAAGCGUUUUGUCUAGAUGCCAGUUCUGGCUCAUGUGUGCUUUAGGAGUUACCCUUUAGGAAGCUGUCAGCCAGGCCUCUGUACCUUGCUCAAGUUUGAAUAUAGGAGCAGCAUUUAUCUCUAUCAUCCAAAACAAACUUGCUGCUAGAACCCAGGACUGGUUUUGUUUAUCUGCAGCAAAGGGGCAGUUUGCCAAAGGUGCCAUGAAGACUCUGAGAGGAUGCAAGGAAAUGGCCCCUGCCUGCAACCCCAAACAUCUUCAGGAUGGAACCAAAGCCAUCAGCCCAGCAGGAGAGUGACGUCCCAGCCCACCAGUCUGCAACUCCGAGCAGGAGGAGCCCCUGCACCACGUCUCUCAAAUAUCCCAGCAGAGAGCAUUCUCUCCAGCAUAGGUGAGCUUGGCUGGCUCCCCUGACCUUCGCUUUCCUAUAGUUCUGGUUCUAGGCUCCACCUUCCAUCACAUCAAAUUUCAAGAGACCCAAAUCCUGUUCCAGCCCCUCAGAAAAGAGAAGCACCUGGAGGAGGUCCAGCUUCCAAGCCUCUGCCAAUAUUCACGCCCCUUGUCUCAUGCUCUGGCCAGCUGCAGGCUGCCCUGGAACUUCCUUAUUUAUAGGAUCCUCUGGGCACCCACUUGACCCAGGAUCCCAAGCAAGCUCAGGGGAAUUCUAGCCCAGGGCCAGGGCACAGGCCAGCACCUGCAGUGGAGAUGCACCCUGUCCCCAGAGACACAGCUUACAGGAGAUGCUAAUGUACCUCUGCAUCAGCCUGGCAGCUGUCUUUCAUUUGCAAAAGUAGAAAUGUCAUCUUUGUAUUUUUGGUUCUGAUUUGAGAGGUAUGUAUUUUGGUCUUAACUGAAAUCCAGCAUCAUGUGAGAGCGCCCUUCUGUGUACUUCACCUUCCCUAUAACCAGGGCAGUCUGUUCCUCGAGGUAGACAGGGCUGCCCCCAAGGCCUGGUGUGGCCAGUGUUAGAGCCAUCUGCCCAACUGGAAAUGCCAGUUGGUUCCUUGUGGGUACAGAAAGGUCAUGUAGGAUGGUGGUAUGGGAUGAUUUUCACCCAAAAACCCCUUACCUGAAAGGCAUGGGGGGGGAGUGAUUUCUGGGGUGGGGGACCUGGAGGAACAGGCACAACUUUGAAUUCCUUUGAGCUUUUCAUUAGUCAGUGAUUCAGGAGAGGAGAGGAAAGGCCUUGACUCUCAUUGGCAUGUGGAGAGGCAGAGGGCUGGGACAGGAUGCUGCUGCUCAUGGGAGUGACCUGGAGAGGUUCCUCACACCCAGAUGCUCCUGCGUGCAGAGAACUGGCCUGCAGACUGGCACUGUGGCGGGAGUCACACCCCAAGGUGGGCUGUGAAACGUGUGGGGACAUGUGCACCUGUGUGCUCAUGCACAUGUCAGUACCGGCUUCCUUUGCUUGGCUGUGGCCCUGAAGAGAUUUCAGGCCACUCUUGGCAUGUUUAUGUGAGAAGUUGAAUAAGGGAAUCAGAGAGGAUGGGGGGAGGACCUACUGCCUGGUACCGGCUGUGAGAGGUGACAUGGCUGGUUCCCUCAGCUAUAAGGGAGCCAGUUCCCCCACCAGAAUGGAGACUCUCUCCACGUGAGGCUGGCAAACAGCAGCCUCCAGCAAGAGAGACUGGGCCACACCCUCCUUAUUGCCCUCAUUCUCCGUGAACCAGGAGUGGAAGCAGCUCCCGCCAGACCUGCACCAGCUCAUAGGAGGUUCAAGAUGGCAAGGACCCCACAGCUUCUGUUAAAGAGCUGUCAUCCCUCGGGCUGGGAAUACAGCUCAGAUGGUAGAGCGCUUGCCUCACAUGCACAAGGCCUUGGGUUCAAUCCCCAGCACCACAGAAGAAAAGAGAAAAAAGAGCUGUCAUCCCACAACGAGCAUGACACCAUCCCCUCAUCCUUUCUGAAAAAUAAAUGACAUGUAAGCCUGUGGGGGCGCCAUCAGAGCAGAGGCUUCACUGUGGGA
Molecule: long non-coding RNA, 4717 nt
Filed under: Marmota monax (woodchuck)
Lineage: Eukaryota; Metazoa; Chordata; Mammalia; Rodentia; Sciuridae
Source: RNAcentral